GGCCUGGUAGUGUAGGUGGCAAGCACACCCCACAUGCAUUGUCGUUGUCGUCACUUCUUUAUAUGAUGUCUUAGGGAGCGCCCUGUUCGAACCAGGGCCAGGCUG
Tephrocybe rancida is the source of this 105-nucleotide non-coding RNA. NCBI's taxonomy places the organism in Eukaryota, Fungi, Basidiomycota, Agaricomycetes, Agaricales, Lyophyllaceae. The record is from the annotation of a GenBank genome assembly.